RNAcentral lists this ribosomal RNA (119 nucleotides) under Eucalyptus grandis. The record is from RNAcentral. Lineage: Eukaryota; Viridiplantae; Streptophyta; Magnoliopsida; Myrtales; Myrtaceae.
GGGUGCGAUCAUACCAGCACUAAUGCACCGGAUCCCAUCAGAACUCCGAAGUUAAGCGUGCUUGGGCGAGAGUAGUACUAGGAUGGGUGACCUCCUGGGAAGUCCUCAUGUUGCACCCA